UACGUAGGGGGCGAGCGUUGUCCGAAGUUACUGGGCGUAAAGCGCACGUAGGCGGCAUGGUAAGUUGCAUGUAAAAGGCGGCAGCUCAACUGCCGAGUGUGGUGCAAGACUGCCAGGCUUGAGGCAAGUAAAAGAAUGUGGAACUCCGAGUGUAGCGGUGGAAUGCGUAGAGAUUCGGAAGAACACCCAUGGCGAAGGCAGCAUUCUGGACUUGACCUGACGCUGAGGAGCGAAAGCCAGGGGAGCAAACGGG
This 253-nucleotide ribosomal RNA is filed under the name uncultured bacterium. RNAcentral describes it as "partial 16S ribosomal RNA". It matches the Rfam family "Bacterial small subunit ribosomal RNA", at positions 524 to 776 of the family's 1533-position model. The record is from RNAcentral. RNAcentral also lists the same sequence under 1 other name.